AGUGAACGCUGGCGGUAGGCCUAACACAUGCAAGUCGAACGGCAGCACAGUAAGAGCUUGCUCUUACGGGUGGCGAGUGGCGGACGGGUGAGGAAUACAUCGGAAUCUACUUUUUCGUGGGGGAUAACGUAGGGAAACUUACGCUAAUACCGCAUACGACCUACGGGUGAAAGCAGGGGAUCUUCGGACCUUGCGCGAUUGAAUGAGCCGAUGUCGGAUUAGCUAGUUGGCGGGGUAAAGGCCCACCAAGGCGACGAUCCGUAGCUGGUCUGAGAGGAUGAUCGGCCACACUGGAACUGCGGCGCGGUCCAGACUCCUACGGGGGGCAGCAGUGGGGAAUAUUGGACAAUGGGCGCAAGCCUGAUCCAGCCAUACCGCGUGGGUGAAGAUGGCCUUCGGGUUGUAAAGCCCUUUUGUUGGGAAAGAAAAGCAGCAGGUUAAUACCCCGCUGUUCUGACGGUACCCAAAGAAUAAGCACCGGCUAACUUCGUG
Molecule: ribosomal RNA, 492 nt
Filed under: uncultured bacterium
Lineage: Bacteria
Description: partial 16S ribosomal RNA
Rfam family: Bacterial small subunit ribosomal RNA
Source: RNAcentral